This is a long non-coding RNA of Gallus gallus (chicken), 1166 nucleotides long. The record is from Ensembl. NCBI's taxonomy places the organism in Eukaryota, Metazoa, Chordata, Aves, Galliformes, Phasianidae.
UACAGACUGAAAUCCUGUACAUCUCUCACUACCUCACAUCAACAGCCAAUUUGGGUCCAUCAUGCCAGCUUCAGAGAGGGACAAUUACCUCUCUGUCUUCUCUAAGAAAAACAGAUCAUACGAGUGAUUUUCUUCCGAAACCUUCAAAAAAUUUGAUUGUUGAUCAUGAGUACACCUGUACAGACGAAGUACACAUCCUCCUGAUAAGACCUGGCACAUUUACAAGCACAGUGUAUUUCACAGAAUCAUAGAACGGCACAGGUUGCAAGGAACCUUAAACAUCAUCACGUUCCAAGCUCCCUGACAUGGACAGGAUUGCCAGCCACAGGAUCAGGCUGCUCAGGGCCUCAUCCAACCUGGCCUUGAAUGCCUCCAGGGAUGGGGCAUCCACAUCUUACCUGUGCAGCCUGUUCCAGCACCUCACCACUCUCUCUGCUCACGUCUAUUGAGGUCAAGUCCAGGAUUGAGAAGUAAGAGACAAAAAGAAACGUAUAAACAUUUCCUUGCAUCAAAGCUGGAGCACAGCCCAAGCAAUUCAGCAAGUGAGAUCUCAGCUACUUCCACAGCCAAAUGGAGCAAUUUCACUCAAUCUGAAGAGCUCAGUCCUCCCCUACCAAGUGAAAUCCCCUCGAAAAUUCACAAUUGGCUGUUUUUAGUCGGUGUUAAAGCACCUUGCCUUAUAACAACAACCCAAGUACUAAUCCAUUAAAAGGAGAUUUAUCAAAUCAAGCGGCUCAAUUUACUUUCAAAAAUCUAGUUCUCCCUCAGUUUUGGUUUUUUUUUUUUCUUUUGCAUGUGUGUGCAUAAUAACAACUCUCCUCACUAAUAGCUGCUCCGUUGACUCAAUAUUUUGAGCAGCUUAAUUUCAGCCCCAGGAUUUCUGGACCAGAGCCACCAGAUUUUCUAAGUGCUGAGCCUUCAUUGUCUUCCAUUUAUAGACACAAGUACCAUGUAAGACAUUUUCAUCAAUUUUACGUGAUUUGUUUUAUUGAAAAGCCUGGAGUCUUCUGACGUGAUUGAUUUCCUGAAUUAUGUGCGUGCUGUAACUAUUUAUUAUUCUUUAAAAAAAUAAAAUUCCUAAGCCUCUUGUGCUCCUCAAGGUGAGUUGUUGCAUGUGUUUGCCCAGGUGGAAGGUUACCACGGCUACCUGACAUGGCUGAGCAGUA